GAUGAACGCUGGCGGCGUGCCUAAUACAUGCAAGUCGAACGAGGUGCCUUUGUAGCAAUACGAAGGUAUCCUAGUGGCGAACGGGUGAGUAACGCGUUGGUGACCUACCCCAAAGUGUGGGAUAACAGAUCGAAAGAUCUGCUAAUACCGCAUGUGGUCUUCGGAUUUAGAAACUGAUGACUAAAGGAGCAAUUCGCUUUGGGAGGGACCUGCGUCCCAUCAGCUAGUUGGUGAGGUAAUGGCUCACCAAGGCUACGACGGGUAGGGGACCUGAGAGGGUGGCCCCCCACAAUGGAACUGAAACACGGUCCAUACACCUACGGGUGGCAGCAGUAGGGAAUAUUGCACAAUGGGCGAAAGCCUGAUCGCAGCAACGCCGCGUGUGCGAUGAAGGCCUUCGGUCGUAAAGCACUUUCUGAGGGAUGAGCAAGGACAGUACCUCAGGAAUAAGUACUCGGCUAACUACGUGCCAGCAGCCGCGGUAAU
Molecule: ribosomal RNA, 486 nt
Filed under: uncultured bacterium
Lineage: Bacteria
Description: bacterial SSU rRNA
Rfam family: Bacterial small subunit ribosomal RNA
Source: RNAcentral